UUAAGCGACUAAGCGUACACGGUGGAUGCCCUGGCAGUCAGAGGCGAUGAAGGACGUGCUAAUCUGCGAUAAGCGUCGGUAAGGUGAUAUGAACCGUUAUAACCGGCGAUUUCCGAAUGGGGAAACCCAGUGUGUUUCGACACACUAUCAUUAACUGAAUCCAUAGGUUAAUGAGGCGAACCGGGGGAACUGAAACAUCUAAGUACCCCGAGGAAAAGAAAUCAACCGAGAUUCCCCCAGUAGCGGCGAGCGAACGGGGAGCAGCCCAGAGCCUGAAUCAGUGUGUGUGUUAGUGGAAGCGUCUGGAAAGGCGCGCGAUACAGGGUGACAGCCCCGUACACAAAAAUGCACAUGCUGUGAGCUCGAUGAGUAGGGCGGGACACGUGGUAUCCUGUCUGAAUAUGGGGGGACCAUCCUCCAAGGCUAAAUACUCCUGACUGACCGAUAGUGAACCAGUACCGUGAGGGAAAGGCGAAAAGAACCCCGGCGAGGGGAGUGAAAAAGAACCUGAAACCGUGUACGUACAAGCAGUGGGAGCACGCUUAGGCGUGUGACUGCGUACCUUUUGUAUAAUGGGUCAGCGACUUAUAUUCUGUAGCAAGGUUAACCGAAUAGGGGAGCCGAAGGGAAACCGAGUCUUAACUGGGCGUUAAGUUGCAGGGUAUAGACCCGAAACCCGGUGAUCUAGCCAUGGGCAGGUUGAAGGUUGGGUAACACUAACUGGAGGACCGAACCGACUAAUGUUGAAAAAUUAGCGGAUGACUUGUGGCUGGGGGUGAAAGGCCAAUCAAACCGGGAGAUAGCUGGUUCUCCCCGAAAGCUAUUUAGGUAGCGCCUCGUGAAUUCAUCUCCGGGGGUAGAGCACUGUUUCGGCAAGGGGGUCAUCCCGACUUACCAACCCGAUGCAAACUGCGAAUACCGGAGAAUGUUAUCACGGGAGACACACGGCGGGUGCUAACGUCCGUCGUGAAGAGGGAAACAACCCAGACCGCCAGCUAAGGUCCCAAAGUCAUGGUUAAGUGGGAAACGAUGUGGGAAGGCCCAGACAGCCAGGAUGUUGGCUUAGAAGCAGCCAUCAUUUAAAGAAAGCGUAAUAGCUCACUGGUCGAGUCGGCCUGCGCGGAAGAUGUAACGGGGCUAAACCAUGCACCGAAGCUGCGGCAGCGACGCUGAUGCGUUGUUGGGUAGGGGAGCGUUCUGUAAGCCUGCGAAGGUGUGCUGUGAGGCAUGCUGGAGGUAUCAGAAGUGCGAAUGCUGACAUAAGUAACGAUAAAGCGGGUGAAAAGCCCGCUCGCCGGAAGACCAAGGGUUCCUGUCCAACGUUAAUCGGGGCAGGGUGAGUCGACCCCUAAGGCGAGGCCGAAAGGCGUAGUCGAUGGGAAACAGGUUAAUAUUCCUGUACUUGGUGUUACUGCGAAGGGGGGACGGAGAAGGCUAUGUUGGCCGGGCGACGGUUGUCCCGGUUUAAGCGUGUAGGCUGGUUUUCCAGGCAAAUCCGGAAAAUCAAGGCUGAGGCGUGAUGACGAGGCACUACGGUGCUGAAGCAACAAAUGCCCUGCUUCCAGGAAAAGCCUCUAAGCAUCAGGUAACAUCAAAUCGUACCCCAAACCGACACAGGUGGUCAGGUAGAGAAUACCAAGGCGCUUGAGAGAACUCGGGUGAAGGAACUAGGCAAAAUGGUGCCGUAACUUCGGGAGAAGGCACGCUGAUAUGUAGGUGAAGUCCCUCGCGGAUGGAGCUGAAAUCAGUCGAAGAUACCAGCUGGCUGCAACUGUUUAUUAAAAACACAGCACUGUGCAAACACGAAAGUGGACGUAUACGGUGUGACGCCUGCCCGGUGCCGGAAGGUUAAUUGAUGGGGUCAGCGCAAGCGAAGCUCUUGAUCGAAGCCCCGGUAAACGGCGGCCGUAACUAUAACGGUCCUAAGGUAGCGAAAUUCCUUGUCGGGUAAGUUCCGACCUGCACGAAUGGCGUAAUGAUGGCCAGGCUGUCUCCACCCGAGACUCAGUGAAAUUGAACUCGCUGUGAAGAUGCAGUGUACCCGCGGCAAGACGGAAAGACCCCGUGAACCUUUACUAUAGCUUGACACUGAACAUUGAGCCUUGAUGUGUAGGAUAGGUGGGAGGCUUAGAAGUGUGGACGCCAGUCUGCAUGGAGCCGACCUUGAAAUACCACCCUUUAAUGUUUGAUGUUCUAACGUUGACCCGUAAUCCGGGUUGCGGACAGUGUCUGGUGGGUAGUUUGACUGGGGCGGUCUCCUCCUAAAGAGUAACGGAGGAGCACGAAGGUUGGCUAAUCCUGGUCGGACAUCAGGAGGUUAGUGCAAUGGCAUAAGCCAGCUUGACUGCGAGCGUGACGGCGCGAGCAGGUGCGAAAGCAGGUCAUAGUGAUCCGGUGGUUCUGAAUGGAAGGGCCAUCGCUCAACGGAUAAAAGGUACUCCGGGGAUAACAGGCUGAUACCGCCCAAGAGUUCAUAUCGACGGCGGUGUUUGGCACCUCGAUGUCGGCUCAUCACAUCCUGGGGCUGAAGUAGGUCCCAAGGGUAUGGCUGUUCGCCAUUUAAAGUGGUACGCGAGCUGGGUUUAGAACGUCGUGAGACAGUUCGGUCCCUAUCUGCCGUGGGCGCUGGAGAACUGAGGGGGGCUGCUCCUAGUACGAGAGGACCGGAGUGGACGCAUCACUGGUGUUCGGGUUGUCAUGCCAAUGGCACUGCCCGGUAGCUAAAUGCGGAAGAGAUAAGUGCUGAAAGCAUCUAAGCACGAAACUUGCCCCGAGAUGAGUUCUCCCUGACUCCUUGAGAGUCCUGAAGGAACGUUGAAGACGACGACGUUGAUAGGCCGGGUGUGUAAGCGCAGCGAUGCGUUGAGCUAACCGGUACUAAUGAACCGUGAGGCUUAACCUU
RNAcentral lists this ribosomal RNA (2902 nucleotides) under Escherichia coli. RNAcentral describes it as "bacterial LSU rRNA". It matches the Rfam family "Bacterial large subunit ribosomal RNA". Lineage: Bacteria; Pseudomonadati; Pseudomonadota; Gammaproteobacteria; Enterobacterales; Enterobacteriaceae. The record is from RNAcentral. RNAcentral also lists the same sequence under 1 other name.